This 93-nucleotide microRNA precursor is filed under the name Marmota monax (woodchuck). The record is from RNAcentral. Lineage: Eukaryota; Metazoa; Chordata; Mammalia; Rodentia; Sciuridae.
AUUGGUAUUGUUGGGUUGCAUAGUACAUGUACUUAAUAACUGCCAAAUUGUUUUCUAAAGUGCAUGUACCAUUUUUGCAUUUCCAUAAGCAGU